GCCGAAAUGGUGCCACUUGUCCUCUUGUACCCUUUCGCCUCUAACUGCCCCCAACCGGCCCUCUUAACCGUCCAACUGCUUCCUGGCAGUUUCUCCAUCGAAAACCAACUCCCCUAGCCUUUGCCUAAGCCCUGGUUCGGCCUUGGCUACACAUGGCCCCAUCGUCCCACAGGAACCGCCGGCACGACUUGGUAACCGCUCGGCACUGGCCACACUGGUCCGGACCGGAACACUCCACCAAGCUGAGAUGAGCUGGUCACCAGCUGUCCCCAGCUGAGUGAGCUAGUCUAUAAGCUCCCGUGAGCUGACCAAGACUGAGUGAGCUAGCUCCUCACUUCCUCCAGCUGACUGAUCUUGAACCGGAACUCGCCUAGCUCCUGGAUCACUCGUCCAACUCUCUUUAACUUGCCUUUACCCUAUUCUGGUUAAGUCUCAGCUUCCUGAUGCCCUUAACCAUGCCAUUGAGCCAUGAUACGCUUGUCUUUAAGUCGUUUAACCUGACUGGUGCGUCUCCUCGCACCAUGGCUCGUCCCUCUCUAUCCUAUCUCGGAUCGGGGACACUAAGAGUCUCCCCCACUAGCAAUGGAUUCGUCCUCGAAUCCGUACUAAGUGUUUCUCCUUGAACGAACUGACCAUACCACUCAUGAUACUCUGCUUUCAUCCUUGUCUCGGUUUCCCAAGUGAUAACAUCCUUUCCGUUAUAGUCCCACACGACCUUGAUCAUUGGGAUUGUCUUCUUCCUGGUUGCCUUCUUUGUCCGAUCUAAAAUACUGGCCUUGUCUCUAAGGUUAGGUUCUUAACCAGAUCAGCAGGGAUCUCAGGCAACACAAUGUCCUGAUCCGUCAAGCAUUUGCGGAGCUGGGACACAUGGAACACAUUAUGGGACACAUGGCCGAUGGCAAAUUCAUCUUGUAAGCCACGGUUCCCACUCUCUCAAUGACCUUGAACGGACCUAAGUAUCUAGGAUCCAAUUUUUUUCUCCCAGCAACUUUGGUUCUUCCCUUGAAAGUAAUCAUCUUGAGGUAGACCAAGUCAUCAACCUCAAAC
This 1047-nucleotide long non-coding RNA is filed under the name Brassica napus (rape). RNAcentral's name for it is "long non-coding RNA (BNAP_LNC021413)". The record is from RNAcentral. Lineage: Eukaryota; Viridiplantae; Streptophyta; Magnoliopsida; Brassicales; Brassicaceae.